This 1340-nucleotide ribosomal RNA is filed under the name Lactobacillus delbrueckii subsp. bulgaricus. RNAcentral describes it as "partial 23S ribosomal RNA". It matches the Rfam family "Bacterial large subunit ribosomal RNA", at positions 831 to 2181 of the family's 2925-position model. Lineage: Bacteria; Bacillati; Bacillota; Bacilli; Lactobacillales; Lactobacillaceae. The record is from RNAcentral.
AAACGAACUUGGAGAUAGCUGGUUCUCUCCGAAAUAGCUUUAGGGCUAGCCUCGCAAAGAGGAUGCUGGAGGUAGAGCUCUGUUUGGACUAGGGGCCCGUCAAGGGUUACUGAAUUCAGAUAAACUGCGAAUUCCAGACAUUUAUGUGCGGGAGUCAGACUGCGAGUGAUAAGAUCCGUAGUCGAAAGGGAAACAGCCCAGAUCACCAGUUAAGGUCCCAAAAUUCAUGCUAAGUGGAAAAGGAUGUGGAGUUGCGCAGACAACUAGGACGUUGGCUCAGAAGCAGCCAUCAUUCAAAGAGUGCGUAAUAGCUCACUAGUCGAGUGACGCCGCGCCGAAAAUUUACCGGGGCUAAGCAUGAUACCGAAACUGUGGAUGUGCAUUUAUGCACGUGGUAGGAGAGCGUUCUAGCGGCGGUGAAGCAUGACCGAGAGGACAUGUGGAGCUUCUAGAAGUGAGAAUGCCGGUAUGAGUAACGAAAGACAGGUGAGAAUCCUGUCCGCCGCAAGACUAAGGUUUCCUGGGGCAGGCUCGUCCGCCCAGGGUAAGUCGGGACCUAAGGCGAGGCCGAGAGGCGUAGUCGAUGGACAACAGGUUGAAAUUCCUGUACUGCACCGAAUCGUUAUGAGCGAUGGAGGGACGCAGGAGGCUAGCAGCGCGUGGUGCUGGAUACCACGUUCAAGCGUCAAGUCUGAGAGCGAGUCAAAUGCUUGCUCUCAUAAGGACAAGGCGUGAUGAGGAGCGAAAUUAAAGUAGCGAAGGCUGCGACGUCACACUGCCGAGAAAAGCUUCUAGCCAGAGACGGUGCACCCGUACCGCAAACCGACACAGGUAGUCGAGGAGAGUAUCCUCAGGUGAGCGAGAGAACUCUCGUUAAGGAACUCGGCAAAAUGGCCCCGUAACUUCGGGAGAAGGGGCGCUGGUCGCAAGAUCAGCCGCAGUGAAAAGGCCCAAGCAACUGUUUAUCAAAAACACAGGCAUCUGCAAAAUCGUAAGAUGAAGUAUAGGUGCUGACACCUGCCCGGUGCUGGAAGGUUAAGAGGAGAGCUUAGCGCAAGCGAAGGUUUGAAUUGAAGCCCCAGUAAACGGCGGCCGUAACUAUAACGGUCCUAAGGUAGCGAAAUUCCUUGUCGGGUAAGUUCCGACCUGCACGAAAGGUGUAAUGAUUUGGGCACUGUCUCAACGAGAGACUCGGUGAAAUUAUAAUACCCGUGAAGAUGCGGGUUACCCGCGACAGGACGGAAAGACCCCAUGGAGCUUUACUGCAGUUUAAUAUUGGGUAUCUGUCAAGCAUGUACAGGAUAGGUAGGAGCCGGAGAAGAUAGGACGCCAGUCUUAUC